RNAcentral lists this unclassified non-coding RNA (314 nucleotides) under plant metagenome. Its description in RNAcentral is "partial contains 5.8S ribosomal RNA, internal transcribed spacer 2, and large subunit ribosomal RNA". The stretch from base 1 to 105 matches the Rfam family "5.8S ribosomal RNA", at positions 50 to 154 of the family's 154-position model. The record is from RNAcentral.
GAACUGCGAUAAGUAAUGUGAAUUGCAGAAUUCAGUGAAUCAUCGAGUCUUUGAACGCACAUUGCGCCCCCUGGCAUUCCGGGGGGCAUGCCUGUCCGAGUGUCAUUGCUGCCCUUCAAGCCCGGCUUGUGUGUUGGGUCGUCGUCCCCUCCGGGGGACGGGCCCGAAAGGCAGCGGCGGCACCGCGUCCGGUCCUCGAGCGUAUGGGGCUUUGUCACCCGCUCGAUAAGGACCGGCCGGGCGCCAGCCGGCGUCUCCAACCUUUUUUCUCAGGUUGACCUCGGAUCAGGUAGGGAUACCCGCUGAACUUAAGC